Molecule: non-coding RNA, 249 nt
Organism: Vicia faba (fava bean)
Lineage: Eukaryota; Viridiplantae; Streptophyta; Magnoliopsida; Fabales; Fabaceae
Source: the annotation of a GenBank genome assembly
AUGGUAGUACUGAGCGCGACGACGAUCGGAGCCCUAUUGGGUUUGGGUACGCAGAUGUACUCCAACGCUCUCCGCAAACUCCCCUACAUGCGCCAUCCGUGGGAGCACGUAUUGGGAAUGGGUUUGGGCGUUGUGUUCGUGAACCAGCUUGUGAAAUGGGAGGCUCAGGUUGAACAAGAUCUCGAUAAGAUGCUUGAGAAAGCUAAGGCCGCUAAUGAAAGACGCUACAUUGAUGGAGAUGACGAUUAG